This 486-nucleotide ribosomal RNA is filed under the name uncultured bacterium. RNAcentral describes it as "bacterial SSU rRNA". It matches the Rfam family "Bacterial small subunit ribosomal RNA", at positions 28 to 507 of the family's 1533-position model. The record is from RNAcentral.
GAUGAACGCUAGCGGGAGGCUUAACACAUGCAAGUCGAGGGGCAGCAUAGGGUAGCAAUACUCUGAUGGCGACCGGCAAACGGGUGAGUAACGCGUAUGUAACCUACCCUGUACAGGGGGAUAACCCGGAGAAAUUCGGACUAAUAUCCCAUAACAAUAUCCGGGGGCAUCUUUGGAUAUUUAAAGUUCCGGCGGUACGGGAUGGGCAUGCGUAACAUUAGCUAGUUGGUAAGGUAACGGCUUACCAAGGCUUUGAUGUUUAGGGGUCCUGAGAGGGUGGUCCCCCACACUGGUACUGAGACACGGACCAGACUCCUACGGGAGGCAGCAGUGAGGAAUAUUGGUCAAUGGGCGCAAGCCUGAACCAGCCAUCCCGCGUGAAGGAAGAAUGCGCUACGCGUUGUAAACUUCUUUUCCAGGGGGAGAAUAAUCCUGUCGUGACAGGACUUGACGGUACUCUGGGAAUAAGCAUCGGCUAACUCCGUG